GACAAUGAGGGCGAUGUGUGGUUAGCUUGUCGACCUUAAGACCGUUGUCGUCUCCUUCUGCAACGGUGUGUUUGAUUGAAAAGAGAAGAUCAAAGGUCGAAGAAGAAGACAAAGGGGGCUAUGUGCAAACCAUGAUGUUCUCAUAACCGACAACAUUAGCUCUUGCUCAAAUCCUCGGAUCUCCUUCCUAGAUCUGAUAGUCACCAUUCUCUAGAUCUUCGCUGCCACGGCUCCAAUGUUGUGAAUCCUUAAACUCACCGUCGUCGAGCUCCUGCCAUGGUCCCCAACGUCCCUGACCUCUUCGAAGAGAAGGGGCACAAAUCUUGGAAUCAAACAUCAAAAGAACAGAUAUGAGAAUUGGUGUUUGUAUUUUAGAGCAGUGAAGAGAAAUAUACAGUUGAGAUUUGGAAUGGUGCUGAACUCAUCCACAACUUCGGAAAUUUUCAUUUUUUUGGUGCACUCUAAGUGCAAGAAGCUCUUCUUCAUCACCAACAGUUUCUGGGAAUUGCAGAUUCAAUAUGUUGAAGAGUUCCGAUCAUUGGGAAUUUUUGUGUUACAAGUUUGCUCUUUGUUCGUUCCCUUUCGAUUUGAACUUUGAUGUUCUUUAAAUUGCAGUAGUAUUUUAACCAAAGUUGGCUUACCUUUUUUGAUUUGUGGUGGGGAAAUGGGUUUCCUGCUACUUGUGAUGUUUGUGUAAACAUUGACGUCAAAAUCGCCUCUGACAACGGUAAACGAUGAUCAGUAGGAUGUCGGAUAAGAUCGCUGAACCUAGUCCAAGGAUUAACUAAAUAACCUUAAUUUAAAUAUGGG
RNAcentral lists this long non-coding RNA (810 nucleotides) under Glycine max (soybean). Its description in RNAcentral is "long non-coding RNA (GMAX_LNC004027)". Lineage: Eukaryota; Viridiplantae; Streptophyta; Magnoliopsida; Fabales; Fabaceae. The record is from RNAcentral.